UCCUACGGGAGGCAGCAGUGGGGAAUAUUGCACAAUGGGCGCAAGCCUGAUGCAGCCAUGCCGCGUAUGUGAAGAAGGCCUUCGGGUUGUAAAGCACUUUCAGUAGGGAGGAAGGUAGUGUAGUUAACACCUGCAUUAUUUGACGUUACCUACAGAAGAAGCACCGGCUAACUCCGUGCCAGCAGCCGCGGUAAUACGGAGGGUGCGAGCGUUAAUCGGAAUUACUGGGCGUAAAGCGCAUGCAGGCGGCCUGUUAAGUCAGAUGUGAAAGCCCGGGGCUUAACCUCGGAAUUGCAUUUGAAACUGGCAGGCUAGAGUCUUGUAGAGGGGGGUAGAAUUUCAGGUGUAGCGGUGAAAUGCGUAGAGAUCUGAAGGAAUACCAGUGGCGAAGGCGGCCCCCUGGACAAAGACUGACGCUCAGAUGCGAAAGCGUGGGGAGCAAACAGGAUUAGAUACCCUGGUAGUCCACGCCGUAAACGAUGUCUACUUGGAGGUUGUGGCCUUGAGCCGUGGCUUUCGGAGCUAACGCGUUAAGUAGACCGCCUGGGGAGUACGGUCGCAAGAUUAAAACUCAAAUGAAUUGACGGA
Molecule: ribosomal RNA, 588 nt
Filed under: uncultured bacterium
Lineage: Bacteria
Description: bacterial SSU rRNA
Rfam family: Bacterial small subunit ribosomal RNA
Source: RNAcentral